AUUGAACGCUGGCGGCAGGCCUAACACAUGCAAGUCGAACGGUAACAGGAAGACGCUUGCUUCUUUGCUGACGAGUGGCGGACGGGUGAGUAAUGUCUGGGAAACUGCCUGAUGGAGGGGGAUAACUACUGGAAACGGUAGCUAAUACCGCAUAACGUCGCAAGCCCAAAGAGGGGGACCUUCGGGCCUCUUUCCAUCGGAUGUGCCCAGAUGGGAUUAGCUAGUAGGUGGGGUAACGGCUCACCUAGGCGACGAUCCCUAGCUGGUCUGAGAGGAUGACCAGCCACACUGGAACUGAGACACGGUCCAGACUCCUACGGGAGGCAGCAGUGGGGAAUAUUGCACAAUGGGCGCAAGCCUGAUGCAGCCAUGCCGCGUGUAUGAAGAAGGCCUUCGGGUUGUAAAGUACUUUCAGCGGGGAGGAAGGGAGUAAAGUUAAUACCUGUACUCAUUGACGUUACCCGCAGAAGAAGCACCGGCUAACUCCGUG
This 490-nucleotide ribosomal RNA is filed under the name uncultured bacterium. RNAcentral describes it as "partial 16S ribosomal RNA". It matches the Rfam family "Bacterial small subunit ribosomal RNA", at positions 30 to 507 of the family's 1533-position model. The record is from RNAcentral.